RNAcentral lists this ribosomal RNA (466 nucleotides) under uncultured bacterium. RNAcentral's name for it is "partial 16S ribosomal RNA". It matches the Rfam family "Bacterial small subunit ribosomal RNA", at positions 28 to 507 of the family's 1533-position model. The record is from RNAcentral.
GAUGAACGCUGGCGGCGUGCUUAACACAUGCAAGUCGAACGAUGAAGCCCAGCUUGCUGGGUGGAUUAGUGGCGAACGGGUGAGUAACACGUGAGUAACCUGCCCUUGACUCUGGGAUAAGCCUGGGAAACUGGGUCUAAUACUGGAUAUGACUUCUCAUCGCAUGGUGGGGGGUGGAAAGAUUUAUUGGUCUUGGAUGGACUCGCGGCCUAUCAGCUUGUUGGUGAGGUAAUGGCUCACCAAGGCGACGACGGGUAGCCGGCCUGAGAGGGUGACCGGCCACACUGGGACUGGAACACGGCCCAGACUCCUACGGGAGGCAGCAGUGGGGAAUAUUGCACAAUGGGCGCAAGCCUGAUGCAGCGACGCCGCGUGAGGGAUGACGGCCUUCGGGUUGUAAACCUCUUUCAGUAGGGAAGAAGCGAGAGUGACGGUACCUGCAGAAGAAGCGCCGGCUAACUACGUG